Molecule: ribosomal RNA, 492 nt
Filed under: uncultured bacterium
Lineage: Bacteria
Description: partial 16S ribosomal RNA
Rfam family: Bacterial small subunit ribosomal RNA
Source: RNAcentral
AGUGAGCGCUGGCGGUAGGCCUAACACAUGCAAGUCGAACGGCAGCACAGUAAGAGCUUGCUCUUACGGGUGGCGAGUGGCGGACGGGUGAGGAAUACAUCGGAAUCUACUUUUUCGUGGGGGAUAACGUAGGGAAACUUACGCUAAUACCGCAUACGACCUACGGGUGAAAGCAGGGGAUCUUCGGACCUUGCGCGAUUGAAUGAGCCGAUGUCGGAUUAGCUAGUUGGCGGGGUAAAGGCCCACCAAGGCGACGAUCCGUAGCUGGUCUGAGAGGAUGAUCAGCCACACUGGAACUGAGACACGGUCCAGACUCCUACGGGAGGCGGCAGUGGGGAAUAUUGGACAAUGGGCGCAAGCCUGAUCCAGCCAUACCGCGUGGGUGAAGAAGGCCUUCGGGUUGUAAAGCCCUUUUGUUGGGAAAGAAAAGCAGCAGGUUAAUACCCCGCUGUUCUGACGGUACCCAAAGAAUAAGCACCGGCUAACUUCGUG